RNAcentral lists this ribosomal RNA (280 nucleotides) under Triticum aestivum (bread wheat). Its description in RNAcentral is "partial small subunit ribosomal RNA". Lineage: Eukaryota; Viridiplantae; Streptophyta; Magnoliopsida; Poales; Poaceae. The record is from RNAcentral.
UGCUAUUUUACCUAAGAGAAUAUAGUAGAUUCUAAGAGAAUGUAGUAGGUCCUAUGAGGUACAAUAUUUAUUAUGUGGUACAAUGUGUUAGAGUUGAUGAUGAGGAGUAGUUGUGAUUAUGACUAGUGACCAACUUGCUAUGUGAUGUCUCAUUGAUGAAAACGAUGAACAUGAGGAGGUGUUAUAUGACAAUGAUGUAUUAUGAUGAUAAGUUGUUAAUGAUAUGAUGAUGAUGACGAUGAUAUUUAUUAUAUCAUUGGGUGAAAGAACCGCGGAUUAG